CUGAUGCAGCGACGCCGCGUGAGGGAUGACGGCCUUCGGGUUGUAAACCUCUUUCAGUAGGGAAGAAGCGAAAGUGACGGUACCUGCAGAAGAAGCGCCGGCUAACUACGUGCCAGCAGCCGCGGUAAUACGUAGGGCGCAAGCGUUAUCCGGAAUUAUUGGGCGUAAAGAGCUCGUAGGCGGUUUGUCGCGUCUGCCGUGAAAGUCCGGGGCUCAACUCCGGAUCUGCGGUGGGUACGGGCAGACUAGAGUGAUGUAGGGGAGACUGGAAUUCCUGGUGUAGCGGUGAAAUGCGCAGAUAUCAGGAGGAACACCGAUGGCGAAGGCAGGUCUCUGGGCAUUAACUGACGCUGAGGAGCGAAAGCAUGGGGAGCGAACAGGAUUAGAUACCCUGGUAGUCCAUGCCGUAAACGUUGGGCACUAGGUGUGGGGGACAUUCCACGUUUUCCGCGCCGUAGCUAACGCAUUAAGUGCCCCGCCUGGGGAGUACGGCCGCAAGGCUAAAACUCAAAGGAAUUGACGGGGGCCCGCACAAGCGGCGGAGCAUGCGGAUUAAUUCGAUGCAACGCGAAGAACCUUACCAAGGCUUGACAUGAACCGGAAAGACCUGGAAACAGGUCCCCCGCUUGCGGUC
This 634-nucleotide ribosomal RNA is filed under the name Arthrobacter sp. Se1Pw_3565. RNAcentral describes it as "bacterial SSU rRNA". It matches the Rfam family "Bacterial small subunit ribosomal RNA", at positions 383 to 1028 of the family's 1533-position model. The record is from RNAcentral. Lineage: Bacteria; Bacillati; Actinomycetota; Actinomycetes; Micrococcales; Micrococcaceae.